GGGAUUAAUCGCCGAUUAAUCGCUGUUCGGUCGGCCACCGUCUCGAUUAAGCGUUAAUCGGUGAAAAAAUCGUUUUUUUAGGAAAUCGGCCAAAAUCGGGAUUAAUCGGUCAAAAGUCGGGAUUAAUCGGAAAAAGUCGGUCAAAAAUCGGUGAAUUUAAAAAAAUUAAAAUAAAAAGAAUUUUUUUUUAAAACUUUAAAUUUAAUUACCUUUCAUUCUUUUAAUAUUAGCUUCUAAACUAUAAUUACAUAAAUUUGCAAUAUCUUCUUUCGCAGAAUUAAUUAAAUUCAAGUUUAUAUAUGAGAUGACUGGACUUGUAUAUGUAUAUAAAGGCAU
RNAcentral lists this long non-coding RNA (336 nucleotides) under Daucus carota (carrot). RNAcentral describes it as "long non-coding RNA (DCAR_LNC003459)". Lineage: Eukaryota; Viridiplantae; Streptophyta; Magnoliopsida; Apiales; Apiaceae. The record is from RNAcentral.